Molecule: ribosomal RNA, 479 nt
Filed under: uncultured bacterium
Lineage: Bacteria
Description: partial 16S ribosomal RNA
Rfam family: Bacterial small subunit ribosomal RNA
Source: RNAcentral
GAUGAACGCUGGCGGCGUGCUUAACACAUGCAAGUCGAGCGAGAAGUUUUGAAAAGAUUCUUCGGAUGAAAUUUAAAAUGGAAAGCGGCGGACGGGUGAGUAACGCGUAGGCAACCUGCCCCAUACAAAGGGAUAGCAUUUGGAAACGAAUAUUAAUACCUUAUGAAACUUAACUAGUGCAUGCUAGGUAGGUCAAAGAUUUAUCGGUAUGGGAUGGGCCUGCGUCUGAUUAGCUAGUUGGUGAGGUAACGGCUCACCAAGGCGACGAUCAGUAGCCGACCCACGAGGGUGAGCGGCAGCAGGGGAACAUAGCGACGAGCGAAACACCACCGGGAGCCAGAAGGGGGGGAGAACGAAAAAUGGGGGUGACCCUUAACGUGCUAUGCUAUGUGAUAAAAGCAGGCCGUAGCGGCGUAAAGUCCCCUUCCAAGUGACGUGAACGGAGCGGAACUAAUGAAAAAGCCCCCACUCACUCCAUG